RNAcentral lists this ribosomal RNA (688 nucleotides) under Vibrio alginolyticus. Its description in RNAcentral is "bacterial SSU rRNA". It matches the Rfam family "Bacterial small subunit ribosomal RNA", at positions 67 to 748 of the family's 1533-position model. Lineage: Bacteria; Pseudomonadati; Pseudomonadota; Gammaproteobacteria; Vibrionales; Vibrionaceae. The record is from RNAcentral.
CUGAACCUUCGGGGAACGAUAACGGCGUCGAGCGGCGGACGGGUGAGUAAUGCCUAGGAAAUUGCCCUGAUGUAAAAGAUAACCAUUGGAAACGAUGGCUAAUACCGCAUGAUGCCUACGGGCCAAAGAGGGGGACCUUCGGGCCUCUCGCGUCAGGAUAUGCCUAGGUGGGAUUAGCUAGUUGGUGAGGUAAGGGCUCACCAAGGCGACGAUCCCUAGCUGGUCUGAGAGGAUGAUCAGCCACACUGGAACUGAGACACGGUCCAGACUCCUACGGGAGGCAGCAGUGGGGAAUAUUGCACAAUGGGCGCAAGCCUGAUGCAGCCAUGCCGCGUGUAUGAAGAGCUAGCUCGGGUUGUAAAGUACUUUCAGUCGUGAGGAAGGCGGUGUCGUUAAUAGCGGCGUCGUUUGACGUUAGCGACAGAAGAAGCACCGGCUAACUCCGUGCCAGCAGCCGCGGUAAUACGGAGGGUGCGAGCGUUAAUCGGAAUUACUGGGCGUAAAGCGCAUGCAGGUGGUUUGUUAAGUCAGAUGUGAAAGCCCGGGGCUCAACCUCGGAAUAGCAUUUGAAACUGGCAGACUAGAGUACUGUAGAGGGGGGUAGAAUUUCAGGUGUAGCGGUGGGGUGCGUAGAGAUCUGAAGGAAUACCGGUGGCGAAGGCGGCCCCCUGGACAGAUACUGACACUC